Molecule: long non-coding RNA, 421 nt
Filed under: Heterocephalus glaber (naked mole-rat)
Lineage: Eukaryota; Metazoa; Chordata; Mammalia; Rodentia; Bathyergidae
Description: lncRNA (ENSHGLG00000043023.1)
Source: RNAcentral
CCUACAACAUGACUCUCACUCCUUCCUGGUGGAAAUCUUGAGUAGACUAAGCUGCCGUGAUGCAUCCCUAUUCUUUCUGCCUGGAUUUCCAGCCAACACCGAGCAUUUAGGAAUUGACGAGUUAUGAGUUCAAGCAAAAAUGUAUUAAUAACAUGGUAGCCAGCUAUGAUGGAGCCCAUCUGUAAUCCCAGCAUUCUGGAGGCUGAGCACUACUCACAAUGGCAAAGAUAUAGAAGUAACUUAAGUGUGCACUGACGCAUGCACAGAUAAAGGAAAGUUGGCGCACGUACACAACAGAAUAUUAUUCUGCAGUACAAAGAAGGAAGUCCUGUCAUCGGAGACAACUUGGGUGAACUGAAAAGAUACUCUGUUAAGUGAAGUAAAUCAAACACAGAGGAAAAAAAAUACUGCAAGAUCUCAC